AGAUUGAACGCUGGCGGCAUGCCUUACACAUGCAAGUCGAACGGCAGCACGGGGGCAACCCUGGUGGCGAGUGGCGAACGGGUGAGUAAUACAUCGGAACGUGCCCUGAAGUGGGGGAUAACGUAGCGAAAGUUACGCUAAUACCGCAUAUUCUGUGAGCAGGAAAGCAGGGGACCGCAAGGCCUUGUGCUUUAGGAGCGGCCGAUGUCGGAUUAGCUAGUUGGUGAGGUAAAGGCUCACCAAGGCGACGAUCCGUAGCGGGUCUGAGAGGAUGAUCCGCCACACUGGGACUGAGACACGGCCCAGACUCCUACGGGAGGCAGCAGUGGGAAUUUUGGACAAGUGGGCGCAAGCCUGACUCCAGCCAUGCCGCGUGAGUGAAGAAGGCCUUCGGUUAGUAAGUCUACGUUUCGGUUGGAAGUAAUUGUACUUAAGGUUAAUACCGUUAAGUAGAUGACGGUACCAG
RNAcentral lists this ribosomal RNA (466 nucleotides) under uncultured soil bacterium. Its description in RNAcentral is "bacterial SSU rRNA". It matches the Rfam family "Bacterial small subunit ribosomal RNA", at positions 26 to 481 of the family's 1533-position model. The record is from RNAcentral.